Molecule: long non-coding RNA, 562 nt
Organism: Micropterus salmoides (largemouth bass)
Lineage: Eukaryota; Metazoa; Chordata; Actinopteri; Centrarchiformes; Centrarchidae
Exons: 3
Source: RefSeq, a predicted model, not a curated record
GCAGUGCGCAGUCACGUGAGCAGGGAGAGGGCAAUGAAACCCAGUAUUAAACGGGCCCCGGGCCUUAUUUAUUAAACACAGUAGUAGAGACAACAACGGGAGUUAACGCCUUUUUAAUCCGCGCUUUUUAACGUGUUGGUGUAAUUUAUUAACACGCCUAAGUUCCUGUCCUGCUCCUCUGACAGCGAGCAGCAGAGCAGACGGAGAAGUGAAGAUCACUCGAGUCGACCACAACCACGCUGCUUACUGCAAGCUGCUGGAGGGCGUGGUCGCCAGUGCUCCGGUCUACUCACCUGAGGCACAUCACGUCAAUCAAGCACACCUGUUUCACAUCCUGCAAUCUACUCACCUUUAAAAGCCAGACCAACCUUCCAGUCCCUGCUAGAUUGCUGUACCACUCAAUACCAGCCUGGACCCCUGAAUCAGAUAUCUCACCAGCACCACAAGACCCAGAGCAGUGGAACCUAGACCACAAACCCUCUGACCAACCAGAACAUCUUUCACCCAAUCCACACCCCUGUUGCACUUGUCUUGAAAAUAAACUUCCUUAAACUGAACUUAA